GCUCAGUAACACGUGGGCAACCUACCCUCAGGACAGGCAUAACCCCGGGAAACUGGGGCUAAUUCCUGAUAGGCACCCUCAACUGGAAUGUGUCGGUGUCGAAAGCUCCGGCGCCUGAGGAUGGGCCUGCGGCCGAUUAGGUUGUUGGCGGGGUAACAGCCCACCAAGCCGACGAUCGGUACGGGCAGUGAGAGCUGUAGCCCGGAGAUGGGGACUGAGACAAGGCCCCAGGCCCUACGGGGCGCAGCAGGCGCGAAACCUUCACAAUGCUCGAAAGAGUGAUGAGGGUACUCCGAGUGCCAGUGCUUAGCACUGGCUUUUCUGCAGCGUAAAUAGUUGCAGGAAUAAGGGCUGGGCAAGACCGGUGCCAGCCGCCGCGGUAACACCGGCAGCCCUAGUGGUGACCGCUUUUAUUGGGCCUAAAGCGUUCGUAGCCGGGCCGGUAAGUCCUUGGGUAAAUCCUGCGUCUCAAGCGCGGGAAUUCUAAGGAAACUACCGGCCUUGAGGCCGGGAUAGGCGAGAGGUACUCCCGGGGUAGGGGUAAAAUCCUAUAAUCCUGGGGGGACCACCGAUGGCGAAGGCAUCUCGCUGGAACGGGCCUGACGGUGAGGGACGAAACCCAGGGGAGCGAGCCGGAUUAGAUACCCGGGUAGUCCUGGGCGUAAAUGAUGUGGGCUUGGUGUGAGCGCAUCGACGAGGUGCGCUUGUGCCGUAGGGAAGCCGUUAAGCCCACCGCUUGGGGAGUACGGUCGCAAGGCUGAAACUUAAAGGAAUUGGCGGGGGAGCAC
Molecule: ribosomal RNA, 788 nt
Filed under: uncultured archaeon
Lineage: Archaea
Description: bacterial SSU rRNA
Rfam family: Archaeal small subunit ribosomal RNA
Source: RNAcentral